UACGUAGGUGGCAAGCGUUGUCCGGAGUUAUUGGGCGUAAAGCGCGCGCAGGCGGUUCGGUAAGUCUAUGGUGAAAGCGCCCGGCUCAACUGGGCGAGUGCCGUAGAUACUGCCAAGCUGGAGGGGAGCAGAGGCGAGUGGUAUUCCGGGUGUAGUGGUGAAAUGCGUAGAGAUCCGGAGGAACACCAGUGGCGAAGGCGGCUCGCUGGGCUCUACCUGACGCUGAGGCGCGAAAGCGUGGGGAGCGAACCGG
RNAcentral lists this ribosomal RNA (253 nucleotides) under uncultured bacterium. RNAcentral describes it as "partial 16S ribosomal RNA". It matches the Rfam family "Bacterial small subunit ribosomal RNA", at positions 524 to 776 of the family's 1533-position model. The record is from RNAcentral.